GCGGUAAUUCCAGCUCCAAUAGCGUAUGCUAAAGCUGCUGCGGUUAAAAAGCUCGUAGUUGGAUCUCAGUUGCGGGCGGGUGGUGCAUCUACCCGAUGUGACAGCCCGAUCUGAACAUCUUGCCUUCUAUCCUCUGGUGUCCUUCACUGGAUGCCUUUGGGUGGUCGGUGCAUUUACUUUGAAAAAAUUGGAGUGCUCAACGCAGGCGAAGUGCCUGAACACUUAUGCAUGGAAUAAUAGAACAAGACCCCGUUUCUGUUCUGUUGGUUUUUGGAAAACGAGGUAAUGAUCAAGAGGGACUGACGGGGGCAUUCGUAUUGCGGCGCUAGAGGUGAAAUUCUUGGACCGUCGCAAGACGAACUACAGCGAAAGCAUUUGCCAAGAAUGUUUUCAUUGAUCAAGAACGAAAGUUAGAGGUUCGAAGGCGAUCAGAUACCGCCCUAGUUCUAACCAUAAACGAUGCCAACCAGCAAUCCGCCUGAGUUACUCCAAUGACUCUGCGGGCAGCUUCCGGGAAACCAAAGUAUUU
Molecule: ribosomal RNA, 529 nt
Filed under: Alectorobius capensis
Lineage: Eukaryota; Metazoa; Arthropoda; Arachnida; Ixodida; Argasidae
Description: SSU rRNA
Rfam family: Eukaryotic small subunit ribosomal RNA
Source: RNAcentral